AAGAUUAAGCCAUGCAUGUCUAAGUAUAAACAAAUUCAUACUGUGAAACUGCGAAUGGCUCAUUAAAUCAGUUAUAGUUUAUUUGAUGGUAUCUUGCUACAUGGAUAACUGUGGUAAUUCUAGAGCUAAUACAUGCUUAAAAGCCCCGACUUCUGGAAGGGGUGUAUUUAUUAGAUAAAACCAAUGUGUUUCGGCACUUCUUGGUGAUUCAUAAUAACUUCUCGAAUCGCAU
Molecule: ribosomal RNA, 232 nt
Filed under: uncultured fungus
Lineage: Eukaryota; Fungi
Description: partial 18S ribosomal RNA
Rfam family: Eukaryotic small subunit ribosomal RNA
Source: RNAcentral